RNAcentral lists this ribosomal RNA (497 nucleotides) under uncultured bacterium. Its description in RNAcentral is "partial 16S ribosomal RNA". It matches the Rfam family "Bacterial small subunit ribosomal RNA", at positions 28 to 523 of the family's 1533-position model. The record is from RNAcentral.
GAUGAACGCUAGCGGCAGGCUUAAUACAUGCAAGUCGAACGGUAAGGUCUCUUCGGAGAUACACGAGUGGCGCACGGGUGCGUAACGCGUAUGCAACCUACCUUUAACUGGGAAAUAGCCCCGAGAAAUCGGGAUUAAUGUCCCAUAUUAUUCUUUGAAUACCUAUUCGAGGAAUGAAAGCUCCGGCGGUUAUUGAUGGGCAUGCGUGACAUUAGCUAGUUGGUGAGGUAACGGCUCACAAAGGCAACGAUGUCUAGGGGUACUGAGAGGGUUAACCCCCACGCUAGUACUGGGACACGGACCAGACGACUACGGAAGGCAGCAGUAAGGAAUAUUGGGCAAUGGACGCAAGUCUGACCCAGCCAUGCCGCGUGAAGGAUGAAUGUCCUAUGGAUUGUAAACUUCGUUUAUGCAGGAAAAAUAUCCCGGUCGUGAACCGGGACUGAUGGUACUGUAUGAAUAAGCAUCGGCUAACUCCGUGCCAGCAGCCGCGGUAA